UUGCGUAGGCGGAAUGCUCCGUCAAAACUGAAACAUCUCUGCUCAACAGGGAAUCCGGUUUUGAUACCAGCAUUCUUUGAGUCUUUCAGAGGUAACUGGAACUUGCGGUGGAGCGGUGAAAUGCGUUGAUAUUGCAAGGAACACCAAAGGCGUAGGCAGGUUACUGGGAAAGAUCUGACGCUGAUGCACGAAAGCUAGGGGAGCGAAAGGGAUUAGAGACCCCUGUAGUCCUAGCCGUAAACUAUGAACACUAGAUGUCCGCUUUUUAAGGUGGAUGUCGCAAGCUAACGCGUUAAGUGUUCCGCCUGGGGAGUACGGCCGCAAGGCUAAA
RNAcentral lists this ribosomal RNA (331 nucleotides) under uncultured bacterium. RNAcentral describes it as "bacterial SSU rRNA". It matches the Rfam family "Bacterial small subunit ribosomal RNA", at positions 567 to 898 of the family's 1533-position model. The record is from RNAcentral.